AAAGCGUGCGCAGGCGGUUUUGUAAGACAGUGGUGAAAUCCCCGGGCUCAACCUGGGAACUGCCAUUGUGACUGCAAAGCUAGAGUGCGGCAGAGGGGGAUGGAAUUCCGCGUGUAGCAGUGAAAUGCGUAGAUAUGCGGAGGAACACCGAUGGCGAAGGCAAUCCCCUGGGCCUGCACUGACGCUCAUGCACGAAAGCGUGGGGAGCAAACAGGAUUAGAUACCCUUGU
This 230-nucleotide ribosomal RNA is filed under the name uncultured bacterium. RNAcentral describes it as "partial 16S ribosomal RNA". It matches the Rfam family "Bacterial small subunit ribosomal RNA", at positions 562 to 791 of the family's 1533-position model. The record is from RNAcentral.